GAUGAACGCUAGCGGGAGGCUUAACACAUGCAAGUCGAGGGGCAUCACGAGGUAGCAAUACUUUGGCGGCGACCGGCGCACGGGUGAGUAACACGUAUGCAACCUACCCUGUACAGGGGGAUAACCCGGAGAAAUUCGGACUAAUAUUCCAUAAUGAUAUUUUAGGGCAUCCUUUAAUAUUUAAAGCUUUGGCGGUACAGGAUGGGCAUGCGCAACAUUAGCUAGUUGGGAGGGUAACGGCCUACCAAGGCUAUGAUGUUUAGGGGACCUGAGAGGGUGAUCCCCCCACACUGGUACUGAGACACGGACCAGACCCCUACGGGAGGCAGCAGUGAGGAAUAUUGGUCAAUGGGCGGAAGCCUGAACCAGCCAUCCCGCGUGCAGGAAGACAGCCCUAUGGGUUGUAAACUGCUUUUCCAGUGGGCGAACCCCUCGUACGUGUACGGGAUUGACGGUACACUGGGAAUAAGCAUCGGCUAACUCCGUG
RNAcentral lists this ribosomal RNA (487 nucleotides) under uncultured bacterium. Its description in RNAcentral is "bacterial SSU rRNA". It matches the Rfam family "Bacterial small subunit ribosomal RNA", at positions 28 to 507 of the family's 1533-position model. The record is from RNAcentral.